Molecule: ribosomal RNA, 353 nt
Filed under: uncultured bacterium
Lineage: Bacteria
Description: bacterial SSU rRNA
Rfam family: Bacterial small subunit ribosomal RNA
Source: RNAcentral
AACGAACGCUGGCGGCAGGCCUAACACAUGCAAGUCGAACGCUCCGCAAGGGGAGUGGCGCACGGGUGAGUAACACGUGGGAACCUACCUUCUGGUACGGAACAACCAAGGGAAACUUUGGCUAAGACCGUAUACGACCUCCGGGUGAAAGAUUGAUCGCCGGAAGAGGGGCCCGCGUCCGAUUAGGUAGUUGGUGAGGUAACGGCUCACCAAGCCUUCGAUCGGUAGCUGGUCUGAGAGGAUGACCAGCCACACUGGGACUGAGACACGGCCCAGACUCCUACGGGAGGCAGCAGUGGGAAUAUUGGACAAUGGGCGCAAGCCUGAUCCAGCCAUGCCGNGUGAGUGAUGAA